Molecule: ribosomal RNA, 406 nt
Filed under: uncultured bacterium
Lineage: Bacteria
Description: partial 16S ribosomal RNA
Rfam family: Bacterial small subunit ribosomal RNA
Source: RNAcentral
AUUGAACGCUGGCGGCAGGCUUAACACAUGCAAGUCGAGCGAACGGCGGACGGGUGAGUCAUGUCUUGGAAACUGCCUGAUGUAGGGGGAUAACUACUUGAAACGGUAGCUAAUACCGCAUACCAUCAGAUGUGCCCAGAUGGGAUUAGCUAGUCGGUGGGGUAAUGGCUCACCUAGGCGACGCUCCCUAGCUGGUCUGAGAGGAUGACCAGCCACACUGGAACUGAGACACGGUCCAGACUCCUACGGGAGGCAGCAGUGGGGAAUAUUGCACAAUGGGCGAAAGCCUGAUGCAGCCAUGCCGCGUGUGUGAAGAAGGUCUUCGGGUUGUAAAGCACUUUCAGCGAGGAGGCGGUACCUGAAGAAGAAGCACCGGCUAACUCCGUGCCAGCAGCCGCGGUAAUUC